Molecule: ribosomal RNA, 253 nt
Filed under: uncultured bacterium
Lineage: Bacteria
Description: partial 16S ribosomal RNA
Rfam family: Bacterial small subunit ribosomal RNA
Source: RNAcentral
UACGUAGGGUGCAAGCGUUGUCCGGAAUUAUUGGGCGUAAAGAGCUUGUAGGCGGUUUGUCGCGUCUGCCGUGAAAAUCCGGGGCUCAACCCCGGACUUGCAGUGGGUACGGGCAGGCUAGAGUGUGGUAGGGGAGACUGGAAUUCCUGGUGUAGCGGUGAAAUGCGCAGAUAUCAGGAGGAACACCGAUGGCGAAGGCAGGUCUCUGGGCCACUACUGACGCUGAGAAGCGAAAGCAUGGGGAGCGAACAGG